RNAcentral lists this ribosomal RNA (799 nucleotides) under uncultured Glomus. RNAcentral describes it as "SSU rRNA". It matches the Rfam family "Eukaryotic small subunit ribosomal RNA", at positions 314 to 1114 of the family's 1831-position model. The record is from RNAcentral. Lineage: Eukaryota; Fungi; Glomeromycota; Glomeromycetes; Glomerales; Glomeraceae.
AUCAACUUUCGAUGGUAGGAUAGAGGCCUACCAUGGUGGUAACGGGUAACGGGGUGUUAGGGCACGACACCGGAGAGGGAGCCUGAGAAACGGCUACCACAUCCAAGGAUGGCAGCAGGCGCGCAAAUUACCCAAUCCCGACACGGGGAGGUAGUGACAAUAAAUAACAAUACGGGGUUCUUUCGGAUCUCGUAAUUGGAAUGAGUACAAUUUAAAUCUCUUAACGAGGAACAAUUGGAGGGCAAGUCUGGUGCCAGCAGCCGCGGUAAUUCCAGCUCCAAUAGCGUAUAUUAAAGUUGUUGCAGUUAAAAAGCUCGUAGUUGAAUUUCGGGGUUAGUAGGUUGGUCAUGCCUCUGGUAUGUACUGGUCUCACUGAUUCCUCCUUCCUGAUGAACCGUAAUGCCAUUAAUUUGGUGUUGCGGGGAAUUUGGACUGUUACUUUGAAAAAAUUAGAGUGUUUAAAGCAAGCUAACGCUUGAAUACAUUAGCAUGGAAUAAUGAAAUAGGACGUUCGAUCCUAUUUUGUUGGUUUCUAGGAUUGACGUAAUGAUUAAUAGGGAUAGUUGGGGGCAUUAGUAUUCAAUUGUCAGAGGUGAAAUUCUUGGAUUUAUUGAAGACUAACUACUGCGAAAGCAUUUGCCAAGGAUGUUUUCAUUAAUCAAGAACGAAAGUUAGGGGAUCGAAGACGAUCAGGUACCGUCGUAGUCUUAACCAUAAACUAUGCCGACUAGGGAUCGGAUGAUGUUAAUUUUUUAAUGACUCAUUCGGCGCCUUACGGGAAACCAAAGUGUUUGGGUUC